CUUAUUUAGCAUGACUAGUAUCGAGGUUCAGAUACUCAGGCGUGCACAAAGUAGAACUGAAAAGCAAGACCACAUGCCUAGAGUUGGCAGCAUGAAUGUUCAAUUAGACUCAUUUAGCAUGAAUCUGAUUUGCAAAAAUGUUUGCAUAUCACAAAAGGAAUAGUGCAUAUGGUGGUUACGUAGUGCUGAAAUUGGCACAACAGAAAUUUUGAAUGACACCAACCAAGAAACAAGAGUUUCAAAAUUCCAGACAGCUUUUACUAUAACAACCUUAUGUUGCUUGCAGGGAUGACUAACAUAAACUUUGCAUUACAUUAAAUAUAAAAUUCACAUUGAUCAAAGUAGAGGAGCGAUAACUUUGUGAGUCCUGCCUACUAUCAUUGUGUGACAUCAGUUCCAGUCUGUCCACUGACUUCUACAAAUUAUACAUAUACUAAAUGUGAGUUGGGGGUUACUAUUUUCAAUUGUUCAUCCGCGUUGAGAAAUGACCCAGCUGUCCUUGGGUUUGGGUUUGAAUCACAAAAUUGGUGCGGGUAUUUUUGGGGAGUCAGAAGAGGUCUGUGGAGGGGUAUUUGGGGAGAGCGCGUAUUAAAAGUGAGUUGAGGUGGUGAGUUGAGAUCGGGGGUGAGAAGUGACGUAGCUGUCCCUGCUUUUAUUGACGUUGCCGUUCGGUGUGUGGGUGAAUUCACAUUAUGUGGUCGACUUUUGCGAGAUAUAUUGAACCACUAGGUGUGUAAAGAGUGAUCGAGAGAGAUGCUCGAAGCUUCUGACCCGAAAAGAGGUCGCCGACCCGGAGGAGGAACCCGACCGGAACUUUCACGUCUAGCCACCCCGCGACUGCGCAUGGGCACCAUCCUCUUCGUCUCCUCGCCGCCGUCACGCCUGUGGCCUCUGAUCGUCCAUGCACCAGACGAGGAAGAAGAAUUGACGGUGAGAAAGUCGACUGUUCUAGCGAAUUCACAACGUUUUCCGGUCACCGAUGGAGCUGCCUGCGUAUUUCCGGCCAUGCUGGGCUUCGUUUUCAUCUUGACUGCGUUGGUGGACCAGAAAUCAAGAGGCUUGCUCGGUUAUUGGCGUCAAAAUCCUCAGUUCAUCAGUUCAGUUCAGCAAGAAAUUCCGGAAAACUGAGUUGGUUUUUGAAGGUAUAUACCGCCCUUGAAUCAAGUUUUUCUCUUCUGGGGAUAAUUGGAAGUUAAACACUAUGAUGGUUUGGUUGAGGUGAUAAUCUGGUAUUGCGAUCUUGAAUCGGAAACUUGGUUGAAUUAUGGUGUUGUGCCCAGUUUAAAUGAGUUGGGCAGUUUUGAAGAUAUGUUUGAACUAGGAAGGAAGUUAGGUGAGUUGAUUGAGGUUGAAAAAAAAAAUUAAAAAAAAUCACUAGGGGUGUGUGUGUGUGUGUAUUGUGUUUUUUUGUCGAGAAUCCAGAAUAAUCGAGAGAGAGAGAGAGAGAGAGAGCUGCAAACUGAGAGUGCCAGAACAAUCUAGAGAGAGAGAGAUCUGAUCUCUCAUCGUUGCAGGCAGAAACAGAAAGAUAGAACCAAGGUUUUCUUUGCAAUUGGGUUGCGUAUCAAAAUGCCGUAUUUGACUACAAAAUUCAGGCCAGAGAAUACAUCGCGCGGGAACUUACUUUAUGAGUUCCGAUGUUAGUGGUAUGGCUGCAAUCUGAAAGAAGAUAUACUGGUGACAUUGUGGGAGGAUAUUUCACGCAGUCUUUAUAUUGAGGCUAUCAGGACUACACCGCCACCUGCGCUCGCAGUUUUCACGAGCCUCAAAUUUAAACAAUAUCAAAACAAGUUUCACUGUCAAGCACAUGAAGCACUUUUUACAUCCUCAAUCCUGACAUUCCAGGGGCUGGAGCUUACAAACAAUGAAGUUCGUUGUCCUUAUAAUACUGUCAAUAUCCUGUCACCUCUGCCCAACCAACUCAUGAGUCCUGAGGAGUACGUUGGAAGCUAUGGAGAAAAAGACUGUCGGAAUUAAACAUCUUUAAUCCCACUUAUAUAUGGUAUUUUCUGGGAGUAUAUGUUUAAACACUAUGCGUGUGAUUAACUGUGAGUUCUUAGGUAGUUGCGAAAUGGUGAGACACAACUUCAGUAGAACAGUUUCCCGUGUCUAAUUGAAAAAUUGUAAGAAGCAUGAUGCUUCUCAAUAAGUAGAAGAAUUUGACUGCUAUGCAGCAGGCUGUGGUUAUCAUGACAGGUAUUAGCGUACUGGGUUGUAUUGACAUAUAGUCCACCACCUUCUUUAAUGAUGAGGUGUAUAGUUUUAAGAUUCCUUGGGGCCCUUCUUCAGUACAUUGACGAGGUUUGGACUGUUAAGCCACUCUUGCCCUCCGAUCCUUACCUCAGAUCCCAAGCCAAGUUCUGGGCCGACUUUGUGGACAAGAAGAUACAUGGUUUGGGGAGGAAGACAUGGACAACUAAGGGAGACGAAUAGGAGGCAGCAAAGAAGGAAUACAUUGACUGCAUUAAGUUGCUAGAAGUGGAGCUUGGGGACAAGCCUUCCUUUGGCGGCGAGACCCUCGGAUUUGUUUUGCUUCUGCAGUUGUAUGACCAAGAUUGAUUUUUUGUUGGAUAUUUCGGAUUGCUUGCUUUUGGUGCAAAGAGUUUUGUGAUCGGCGUGUUAUAGUUUGAUAAAGGGUUUGCUUAUUUGAAGAUAUUUGAGACUUCGAUUUGUAUAUAUUUGAUUUAGAGGAAUUGCACAGUGUGAGGGGAAUAAGGCUGGCAAGAAAGUUGGAAAGUUCUACGGCAAGGUCAAUCCGUUCUGCUGCUGAAAUUUUAAGAUAUUUGUCAUUUAAGGUUGUUGAAUUUCUGUGCAUAUCAUAAUCAACUAGACUGUUAGAUUACCAACAUUUAGGUUGUUUAAUAUUAUGUAGACAAGCAGUUCUGCAUCUUUUGUGACCAGCAUUUUGCUAAGCUGCAGCUUUUUGGUUUUUUAAUUUAGGUGCUUUGCAGCGUUUACAUAAUAAUCUUAAGUUUGAUUUAUCUAUUUGAAAUGAUGUACUAUGUUUUGUUAGCAAAAUUUACAGUUGCAUUUGGUUUCUAAUUUAAAUAGAACUAUAUGAUUUAUCCAAAGGAAGAGUGUACUUUCAAAUUCUCUGACUGUUUAUUUCUCAUUUAUAUUUCUCAUCAAACCUACACUUUUGCAUUGAUAUUGAUCUUAAGAUUCCAUGUUAAAUUUUUGACUUUGGAAUCAAUUUGCAUGGUAUUUCCACUCAUACUUUGAUCAUGGUCUUACUGCUUUUUUGAUAGAAACUGUCUUUGGCAACUAAUUUAUGUAAAAGAAUUAAAAUUAAAAAAAAAAAAAAACAGCAGUGCAUGAA
Rosa chinensis is the source of this 3319-nucleotide long non-coding RNA. RefSeq lists it as uncharacterized. NCBI's taxonomy places the organism in Eukaryota, Viridiplantae, Streptophyta, Magnoliopsida, Rosales, Rosaceae. The transcript is spliced from 11 exons. The record is from RefSeq and is a predicted model, not a curated record.